UACGUAGGUGGCAAGCGUUGUCCGGAUUUAUUGGGCGUAAAGCGCGCGUAGGCUGUUGUGUAAGUUGGGGGUGAAAUCCCACGGCUCAACCGUGGAACAGCCCUUGAUACUGCGCGACUUGAAUCCGGGAGAGGGUGGCGGAAUUCCAGGUGUAGGAGUGAAAUCCGUAGAUAUCUGGAGGAACAUCAGUGGCGAAGGCGGCCACCUGGACCGGUAUUGACGCUGAGGCGCGAAAGCGUGGGGAGCAAACAGG
This 253-nucleotide ribosomal RNA is filed under the name uncultured Desulfovibrio sp. RNAcentral's name for it is "partial 16S ribosomal RNA". It matches the Rfam family "Bacterial small subunit ribosomal RNA", at positions 524 to 776 of the family's 1533-position model. The record is from RNAcentral. Lineage: Bacteria; Pseudomonadati; Thermodesulfobacteriota; Desulfovibrionia; Desulfovibrionales; Desulfovibrionaceae.